UCUGGUAUGAAAGGUUUGACGAAAUAUUAACUGUUUCAUAAAUAUUUAUAUUAGAAUUUUAUUUUUUAGUCAAAAAGCUAAAAUAAAUUUAAAAGACGAGAAGACCCUAUAAAUCUUUAUAUUUAUGUUAUUAUAAUUUUAUAGAUUUUUUAUAUUUUAAUAAUUUAUAAUAUUUUAUUGGGGUGAUAUUAAAAUUUAAUAAACUUUUAGUUUUUAAAAUCAUUAAUUUAUGAAUAAUUGAUCCGUUAUUAACGAUUAAAAAUUUAAGUUACCUUAGGGAUAACAGCGA
This 289-nucleotide ribosomal RNA is filed under the name Hydrotaea spinigera. RNAcentral describes it as "partial 16S ribosomal RNA". Lineage: Eukaryota; Metazoa; Arthropoda; Insecta; Diptera; Muscidae. The record is from RNAcentral.